GGGGCUGAGCGGGGGUUGGCAGAGCAGACAGGCCUUCUCCGCUGGCUGAGAACAAAACCACCGGCAGCGAGGAAAAUAUGUGCGAGGCAUUUUUGCAAUUCCAAGAGGCUCGGUCCAGCUCUCGCCCAGACGGUCAAUGAAUCAAAGCUGGGAAAGGCUCUACCUGUCAGCAGACUUUCUCCUGGCCCUGCUCACCAAGGCCCCACCCCUCUGGCCCCAGCAGGCCAGCUGGAACCCUCCCAGUUCCCCAGAAGGACGGUUCUUCGAAGAAGAGUGUGUCACAAGCAAAAGCCAGAGGCAGGCAGCCCACGGGCAGAACCCUUGGCAUCCUUCUCUGCCUGUUCUUCUCGCAGGAGCGUAGCCUGUGUCGCCUGUUACCUUGGGUUGAAUGGUGGCUCCCGAAAAGAUAUUUCCACGUCCUGGUCCUUGGAACCUGUGAAGGUGUCCUUAUUUGGAAACAGAAUCUUUGCAGAUUAAUUAAGUUAAAGAUCUCGAGGUGAGAGCAUCCCAGAUUAUCUGAGUGAGCCCCAAAUCCAAGGACAAGUGUCCCUAUAAGAGACAAAGAGGAAAGAAGAGGAGAAGACCAUGGGAAGGUGGAGGCCGAAAUCGGAGUGAUGCGGCCACAAGCCAAGGAAUGCCUGGGGCCACCAGAAGCUGGAAGAGCCUCAGAGACUCACAGCUUCAGAGAUAGGAGAGUUUUUGUGGGAAUCCAGGCCCAGAGAGGAGCAGCGGCUUACUUGAGGGAAUACAGCCAGGACUCAGCCCAGAAUCACCUACUCCAGGAAGCCUUACUGGAUUGCCUUUCCCUUUGCUCCAGCUCCCCAUCCCCAGGUGAGAGAUGUUCCCCUCCCUUCCCACAGCUGUAGACUCAUGUGGUCUCAUGUGGAAAAUUUACUUUCACACCAGGACCCCAGUGACUGUCCUUAGUCAGCCCUACCCACCAGGCAGUCCCCUCCCCUUGCCCGGCCUAGGAUUACUGGUGUCGUGAAUGGAAUUCUUUGCUUCUCUGCCCUCCCUCAUUGUGAGCUCCUUAAACUCUGCACCUUAAAUCUUUUCUUUUUAAACAGCUUUAUUGAGAGAGAAUUCACGCACCAUACAAUUCAGCCAUUUAAACGAUUUUUAGUGUAUUCACAGGUAUGUACAACCAUCACACAGUUGAUUUUAGAACAUUUUCAUCACCUCAAAAAGAAACCCCAGAGCCAGGCCUGAUUGCCCAGUGGUUACAGUUCAGCGCUCUCCACUUCAGUGGCCAAAGUUUGGUUCCUGGGUGCGGAACCACACCACUUGUCUGUCAGCAGCCAUGCUGUGGUGGCAGCUCACAUACAAGAACUAGAAGGACUUACAACAAGAAUACACAACUACGUACUGGGGCUUUGGGGAAGAAAAGAAAAAAAAUAGAAACCCCUUACUCGUUGGCUCUUGGCCACCCUCAACCCUGAGCACUAAUCUCCUUUCCGUUUCUAUGGAUUUCCCCAUUCCAGACAUUUCUAUGAAUGAGAUCAAAGAAUAUGCGGACUUUUGUGACUGGCUUCUUUCACUUAGAAUAACAUUUUCAAGGUUCAUCUAUGUUGUGGUAGGUAUCAGACUUCAUUCUUCUUUUAAUGGCUGAAUAAUAUUCCAUCAUACAGAUAGACCACUGUUGUUUGCCCCUUUGGGUUGUCUCCACCUUUUGGUUAUUAUGAAUAACGCUGCUAUGAACAUUCCAGUACAAGUUUUUGUGUGGACGUAUGUUUUCAUUUCCCUUGGGUAUACACCUAGGAGAGGCAUCACUGGGUCGUGUGGUAAUUCUAUGAUUAAUUGUUUGAGGAACUGACUGUUUUCCAAAGUAGCUGCACCAUUUGACACUCCCAUCGCAGCGGAUGAGUGUUCUCAUUUCUCCGCAUCCUCUCCAACCCUUGUUAUCACUUGCCUUUGAUUCUAGCCACCCGAGCAGGUGUGGAGUGGGGAGCUUCACACCUUUUCAUUGCCAGGCAGCAAGGCGUGGUGACGGAGCCCUGAAGACAGACCCAGGGCUGGAAGCCCAACUCUUCACUUCUGUUGGGUCUUUCUGCCUCGCUGAGCCUCAUCAUUCUCUUCUGUGGAAUGGAACCACAGCACGUGGAUGAGAGACAGUGAAUGUAAGGUGUUUAGCAUAGUUGCUGGCAUACAACACAUGCUCAAUAAAUGUGAACUAUAAUAACAGCUACAGUGCUCACUCCAAAAACCUUGCACAGUUUCUGGCACACCGUAGGCCCUCGUGGGUGUGGGUGGAGUAACUGAUGGCAAGUGUGCCCCGGGAAGGGCGCCAGCUGAGGGCCUGGGCAGGCCUGGAGGGGGCCCUGGGAGGAGCUCACAGCCUCUGGCUCAGGGGCCCCUUGGCCAGAGCCCUGUCCAGCCCAGCUCUUGUCUGGCAUGGGGAGCAGUUUUAUUUCUACAGGCGUUUUGCGACUCAGCACAUGUAAGCUUCCUCCUGAUGGUUUGAAUUAGAAAGCAGCUGAUGCCUUCUGGAAAACCCAGGGAAAAACAUUAUUGUUGGAGGCCAGUCUCCUCAUUGGCAGAGCCGACUGCACUGGUCUGGCAUUCCGGAGCACAAAAGCCUUCGCCGGCAAAAUCGGAGCCUUCCCAUCGGGGCUCCCCUCCUCUCCGCCCUCCCUCUCAUCCAGCCCUGGCUGGGCCUGGCAAGUGCUGGCUGCCGGAUGGGAGUCAGGACAAGAAUCCUCUGGCUGUCUAGGCCCGUCCACUCCAGCAGCAAGUUGGUGGACGAGGUCUGACUCAACUCCCAGCCUGGCAAAUGUCUGGGGUCUGGCGUGCAGACGAAGGUGGUACCCACUGCAGGGAACAGGGCCAGGAGGAAGGUGGCAACAGGCUGGCUAGACACGGAGAUCGGAAAAGGAGAGAGUGUUACUGCUCUUAUUGGACGAAUGAGGAAACUGAGGCUCAGAGAGGUGAUGUCAGCUGCCCACGGUCACAGAGCCAGCAAGUGGUAGCCUGAGGACUAGACCCCAGGCCUGCUCUGAGGCCCACCUUGCCUUUUUGCACUGAGAAUGGGGGUAAAAGCACUUUGUGAACCAAAAGGCAUGGUAUACCUGGGAGGGUUUUAAAUACCAUUCCUAUUGCUGUUUUCCUGGGGAGGUGGUCAGAAGCUGGCAUGGCCUCCCCUCCAGCCGGCCAUCGGCCUUGCUGCAGCUUCUGCUUGGUCACCAACAGUUCGAGCCACAUGACCAGGGCUGCCUUAUCUCCUCGAGGGUGGCAGGCCCCUGUUCCCAGAAGCCCGGCUUCAGAUGGGCAGCAGCGAUUGUAGAGAUCUGCAGGGCCCCGAUAAAGCCGCUGCAGCAGGGGACAGACGGAUGGAAGUUCCCCUCAUGCCACUUCCUUCAGUGGCUGGUAUGGCCCCAGCUCCUUAAGCUCUUCCACUUCCUCACAAGGAUAGGGGCCCGGAGUGGCCAACAGAGCUCAGUGGGGUUCAGUCCCCAGUAACCCGCCCCCAUUCCUGGCAUCCCCCCUUCACGGCCCUGGGUCUAGGACCCUGGCCAUGAGGGUGCUCUUGUCUCCACCCCAGGGAGUGUUGGGACGAGCAGACGAGGUGACACUCGAUGUGCACGCGAGAGGCUGACGCUCUUUAUCCAUCUCCCCAGUCCGUGUGCCUUAGCCAUGUUGUCCCUCUUCUUUUCUGUGAUCUUUCCAAACCCUGCCCCUCCUAUAAGGGUGAGUCUGAAUGUCACCUUCUCCCCAAAGCUGUCCUGGACCUCCUCUGGCCUGUCACCUCCUGUGCUUCCUCUCGCAGCAUUGGAAUCGGCCCCUUCAGAGAAUAAAAGGACGGGAAGGAUGGCUAUCCACGUGCUGAGCCACAAAUGACUUUGACACUUUUCCCCUGCUGUGUAUGUGUUUGCGUCCCAUCUUUUCUGCACUGUGCAUAAUUUCCUUGUAUAAUUAGAAAAGAAUUCCAAAUAAAUGCUAUUGUCGAGAAGGAUCUGCUCCACUUGGUGGAACGCUUCAUUGAAACCAUGAGCCUUGCGUCUGUCAGUGCUGCGUUGACCGUGGUGGUCCAGGCAGUGGGUCUUACACCUGAUGCCCUGUGCACACCCACUCACCAUGGGACACGGAGCAGCAAUUCAUUCCCUUCGGGUGUGACUCUCACGAACUCACCAGCCUCACCUUUGUCCGCUCCAGCCCCGGGGACAUCCACCACUAUCUGUUGGAGGUGUCCCCGGAGUCCUCACCCACUCUCCCAUUUCCAAGGUCCAAGAUGCUGUCACAGUGCAGCUCAAAUUCCAUCUCCUCUGGGCUUCCUGGCCAUGCCUGCCCUGAGCCCGGCUCCUUCUUGGCCUCAGGUUGCUGAUUAACUGCCUCCCCCGCUAGACCGUAAGUUCCUUAGGAACAGGGGACACAUCCCACACCUCCCCGCCUCCCAGCGCCUGGCAUGGAGCCCGGCACACAGCAGAGCAGGUGCUCAGGAAGAAGUCGAGUGCAGGAACCCUAAGAGUGAUGAUCACGGUUAUGAUGAUGGCAGCCACUGUUUCCCGGACACUGACCUUGAACCUCCACCGCUCAGCUCGUUACCUGGAUUAUGUCAUGUAACCCCCAGCAACCUAGAGACUCAGGUGCUGAUAAGUGCAUCUUACAGAGGAGAAAAGGCAACCGUGAAAGGAAGGCCUGGACAUCAGACUGUGUGCUGGGGGCGGGAUGCUGGGGUGGCGAACCACCUCCUCCUGCCUUAGUUUCCUCUGCUGUACAGGGGCCUGACACCUGUGCUCCUUUCCUCCCUCCAGGGGGCUGUCGGGGUCGAACAGGACAGCGAGCACGUCAUCGAGUGCAAACAGCUGCAUAAAUGCAUGGCGUGGUGGAUCAGAGCCAAGCUGCCGCCCAGGCUGUGCCCUCUGCCUGGAAUGCUGUCCCACUCCGCUCACCUGACCCAGACCCACCCUUCAGCUUUGAGCUGAGCUGUCAGCCCCCUGGGGCAGCCUCCCCAGCUCCCAACCCUGGUCCGUGCCCAUUAGAGGCUGGCAGAGCCCUAACCUCCAUGGUGGUCUCAUCUUUGCUCUAAUGAAACAAUUAACCACAUAAUUAUGACAUCCGCCUCUCCUGCCAGGCCCAUGGCUGCAUGGGACAGGGAGAGCCCUUUCCCAUUUGGGCCACAUCCUGGGGCCAGACACUUGGCUGAGCACGCAGGUGGAGCUCAGGGAAGGCUCGCCAACUGUCAGAAUGAAUGGAAGGAGGGAACGGGUGGACAUUUCAUUCAGCCCCAUCCCUCACCCAAGCUCAGCCUGGCUGUGCUGUGAGCCUUGCUGGGUUCAGCUGAGGAAGCUAAUUUGUUCUAAAAUGUUAGGAGUAUGUGGUCUACGAGCUCUGGAGCCAGAUGGAGUCUGAGUCCCAGCUCCACCACUUCUUAGCUGUGUGAUGCUGAGGCAGUGCUGAAUCUCUCUGGGACUAACUAUAAAACCGGGAUAAUAACAGUGCCUCAUUGGUGCUAUUGAUACGAGGCUUCUAUGAGUUAGAGAUUACAAUGAGUAUGACUGUAAUUAUUAUUAUUAUUGCUGGUAAUGACUCAAAGGAUUCCUCCUCCCAAUUAAUAUCUUUGUCCUGUAACAGCAGGGGCCCAGGUCUUGACAGGGUUGGAAAGGCCUGGGAAGGGAGCCAGGAGCCCGGAGCUCCAGCUCAGUGGCUGGGCUGUGUGACCAGGAGGAAGUCGCUCCAUCCCUCCCGCUAGCGAGAUGACUAACACCGGCAGCAAUCACAUUUCCUAAUUCGCUCCCUCACAGGGCUGUGGGGGAAGAUCAAACAGCGACAUGAAUGAGAACUAUUCUUUCUGCAAAUAUUUGUUGAACACCUACUGUGUUCCAGGGCUUGAAGAGGACCAGACAGUGAACAAGAUCCCAGGAGCCAGAAAGGAAGGGAUUACUACGAAGCCAGCAAGUUCUCUAGAACGAAAGUUCUGCUCAAGCGGGGGGCAGGUGGCAGCUGAGGCAUCUCUGUGAGUCUGAGUCCAACCUGAGUUCCGCGGAGAAGGUCCUCCCGCCUGCCUCCUUCUAGGGUGCGAUCGGGGCACCUCUCCCCUUCUCGAAGCCUCUGAAUCUUUAUUUAUGAAACAGGCUUGGAGGUGGGCAUAAAAUAUACCUUCGUCACCAAGCUGGUGCAAAGAUGAAGAGAGUUCACACGUGUGAGGGCUUAGCACCGAGCCAGACACGGCUGUCUGUCACUGGAUGGUGAUUAUUGUCAACGCCGUGACCUUGCCGCCUGACCCUCAGCUGGCACCUGGGGUCCGUGAGUGAGAU
Equus asinus (donkey) is the source of this 6251-nucleotide long non-coding RNA. Lineage: Eukaryota; Metazoa; Chordata; Mammalia; Perissodactyla; Equidae. The record is from Ensembl.